AAGUCGUAACAAGGUUUCCGUAGGUGAACCUGCGGAAGGAUCAUUACAAAUCAUCGUAUGAACCACCCUGUUGAAUCUCUAUUGUGUGUGUCGUCGUUUGUGUGUUGUUGUACGAGCAGAGUAGUGAGCCAUGAUGAUUCAUUCCGAUGAAGAAUCAUGGUGCUGCCCUCUUGUUUGGCCAUACACACGACGACCACCACAACAACCCCUAUUAUUGACUAUUGAUUGACAUGACAAACGUGUGCAUGAUGACGAUGAUGUUCAUCCUCGGAUGAGCCCAUCAUCAUCAUCACAUAAUAAAAACGAACAAAACUUUUAACAAUGGAUCUCUUGGCUCUU
RNAcentral lists this unclassified non-coding RNA (339 nucleotides) under fungal sp. RNAcentral describes it as "partial internal transcribed spacer region". The stretch from base 1 to 46 matches the Rfam family "Eukaryotic small subunit ribosomal RNA", at positions 1786 to 1831 of the family's 1831-position model. Lineage: Eukaryota; Fungi. The record is from RNAcentral.